GACGAACGCUGGCGGCGUGCUUAACACAUGCAAGUCGAACGAUGAAGCCUAGCUUGCUAGGUGGAUUAGUGGCGAACGGGUGAGUAAUACGUGAGUAACCUACCUUUAACUCUGGGAUAAGCCUGGGAAACUGGGUCUAAUACCGGAUACGACCAAUCUCCGCAUGGGGUGUUGGUGGAAAGCGUUAUGUAGUGGUUAUAGAUGGGCUCACGGCCUAUCAGCUUGUUGGUGAGGUAACGGCUCACCAAGGCGACGACGGGUAGCCGGCCUGAGAGGGUGACCGGCCACACUGGGACUGAGACACGGCCCAGACUCCUACGGGAGGCAGCAGUGGGGAAUAUUGCACAAUGGGCGCAAGCCUGAUGCAGCGACGCCGCGUGAGGGAUGACGGCCUUCGGGUUGUAAACCUCUGUUAGCAGGGAAAGAAGAGAAAUGACGGUACCUGCAGAGAAAGCGCCGGCUAACUACGUGCCAGCAGCCGCGGUAAUACGUANGGCGCGAGCGUUGUCCNGAAUUUAUGGGCGUAAAGAGCUGUAGGCGGUUUGUCGCGUCUGCUGUGAAGGCCGGGGCUUAACCCCGUGUAUUGCAGUGGGUACGGGCAGACUAGAGUGCAGUAGGGGAGACUGGAAUUCCUGGUGUAGCGGUGGAAUGCGCAGAUAUCAGGAGGAACACCGAUGGCGAAGGCAGGUCUCUGGGCUGUAACUGACGCUGAGAAGCGAAAGCAUGGGGAGCGAACAGGAUUAGAUACCCUGGUAGUCCAUGCCGUAAACGUUGGGCACUAGGUGUGGGGGACAUUCCACGUUUUCCGCGCCGUAGCUAACGCAUUAAGUGCCCCGCCUGGGGAGUACGGCCGCAAGGCUAAAACUCAAAGAAAUUGACGGGGGCCCGCACAAGCGGCGGAGCAUGCGGAUUAAUUCGAUGCAACGCGAAGAACCUUACCAAGGCUUGACAUAUACUGGACCGCAUCAGAGAUGGUGUUUCCCUUCGGGGCUGGUAUACAGGUGGUGCAUGGUUGUCGUCAGCUCGUGUCGUGAGAUGUUGGGUUAAGUCCCGCAACGAGCGCAACCCUCGUUCUAUGUUGCCAGCACGUUAUGGUGGGGACUCAUAGGAGACUGCCGGGGUCAACUCGGAGGAAGGUGGGGAUGACGUCAAAUCAUCAUGCCCCUUAUGUCUUGGGCUUCACGCAUGCUACAAUGGCCGGUACAGAGGGUUGCGAUACUGUGAGGUGGAGCUAAUCCCUAAAAGCCGGUCUCAGUUCGGAUUGGGGUCUGCAACUCGACCCCAUGAAGUCGGAGUCGCUAGUAAUCGCAGAUCAGCAACGCUGCGGUGAAUACGUUCCCGGGCCU
Molecule: ribosomal RNA, 1346 nt
Filed under: uncultured bacterium
Lineage: Bacteria
Description: bacterial SSU rRNA
Rfam family: Bacterial small subunit ribosomal RNA
Source: RNAcentral